UACGAAGGUCCCGAGCGUUGUUCGGAGUCACUGGGCGUAAAGGGAGCGUAGGCGGUGCGGUAAGUCAGAUGUGAAAUCCCGGGGCUCAACCUCGAAACUGCAUUCGAUACUGCCUUGCUAGAGUACUGGAGAGGAGAUCGGAAUUUACGGUGUAGCAGUGAAAUGCGUAGAUAUCGUAAGGAAGACCAGUGGCGAAGGCGGAUCUCUGGACAGUUACUGACACUGAGGCACGAAGGCCAGGGGAGCAAACGGG
This 253-nucleotide ribosomal RNA is filed under the name uncultured bacterium. RNAcentral's name for it is "partial 16S ribosomal RNA". It matches the Rfam family "Bacterial small subunit ribosomal RNA", at positions 524 to 776 of the family's 1533-position model. The record is from RNAcentral.